UGGGGGCUACCCUGAUGCAGCCAUGCCGCGUGAGUGUAGAAGGCCUUCGGGUUGUAAAGCUCUUUGACAUGGGAAGAUGAUGACGGUAACAUCAGAAGAAGCCCCGGCUAAUUUCGUGCCAGCAGCCGCGGUAAUACGAAAGGGGCUAGCGUUGUUCGGAUUUACUGGGCGUAAAGGGCACGCAGGCGGUCUUGCCAGUCAGGGGUGAAAGCCCGGGGCUCAACCUCGGAACUGCCUCUGAUACUGCAAGACUUGAGACUAGGAGAGGGUGGUGGAAUUCCCAGUGUAGAGGUGAAAUUCGUAGAUAUUGGGAGGAACACCAGAGGCGAAGGCGGCCACCUGGACUAGAUCUGACGCUCAGGUGCGAAAGCGUGGGGAGCAAACAGGAUUAGAUACCCUGGUAGUCUUUUCCGUAAACGAUGAGUGCUAGUUGUCGGGACUUCGGUUUCGGUGACGCAGCUAACGCAUUAAGCACUCCGCCUGGGGAGUACGGUCGCAAGAUUAAAACUCAAAGGAAUUGACGGGG
This 526-nucleotide ribosomal RNA is filed under the name uncultured Thalassospira sp. RNAcentral describes it as "bacterial SSU rRNA". It matches the Rfam family "Bacterial small subunit ribosomal RNA", at positions 372 to 918 of the family's 1533-position model. The record is from RNAcentral. Lineage: Bacteria; Pseudomonadati; Pseudomonadota; Alphaproteobacteria; Rhodospirillales; Thalassospiraceae.